RNAcentral lists this long non-coding RNA (371 nucleotides) under Amborella trichopoda. RNAcentral's name for it is "long non-coding RNA (ATRI_LNC004590)". Lineage: Eukaryota; Viridiplantae; Streptophyta; Magnoliopsida; Amborellales; Amborellaceae. The record is from RNAcentral.
CAUACAGUCAAAGAGAAGGAGAACAUUUCCUCUAAUGCAGCCAAUAUUAUUGAUGAAAGCUUGAAAAGUGGGAUGGAUAAUGUCUGGUUAGUCUUGACAAAUACCGAUUACUCUAAAGACUCGUGAGUUCUUGAUAUGAGAUAAUCUUAUUAGGACAGAAAAGAGUGUUUAGCCAUUGACAGAGAAACAAACUCAUAGACAAAGAGUGUUUAGCGAGAGAUAGACAGAGAGUGUUUAGCUAUUGACAGAGAGACGAAUAGAGAGAGGGUGGGUAUAGAAAGAGGGCAGGUAGAUUCUUCUUGUGCAUAUGUAUUAUGUGAUUUUUUGUUGAUGGAACACGAGAAGUUUUGUUAGUGGCAGCAAGUGAAAAC